RNAcentral lists this long non-coding RNA (3282 nucleotides) under Sorghum bicolor (sorghum). RNAcentral's name for it is "long non-coding RNA (SBIC_LNC007214)". Lineage: Eukaryota; Viridiplantae; Streptophyta; Magnoliopsida; Poales; Poaceae. The record is from RNAcentral.
CCCCCUUGUUAAUGACGGUAUCACGCCCCUUAUAUAGGGCUCGGAAACCGACCUAAGAAAAUUACAGAAAUGCCCCGUGACGGUUGGGGAAUAUCCCAGCAUAUUCUCAUAUUACAGUCUACUCACCCUAAGCCAUUUGUGUAAUUUCACACUACGAACCCUGCGUGUGUCCCCUGUCUAGGGCUUCAGCUGGUCGGAGGCUUGGAUCCUCCGCUCGGCCGCCGAUCCUUCGACGCUUCCGCGUCGGAGGUUCCUCAGCUUGGACGCGUCGGAGGUUCCUCAGCCCGGACGCGUCGGAGGUUUCUCUCCUCGGUCAACUGAAGGCUCCUCAGCUCGCUCGACCGCCGACCUUCGACGCUUCCGCGUCGGAGGCUCCUUAGCUUGGACGCCUCGGAGGUUCCCAUCCUCCGCCGUGUCCUUCGCCAUCCUCGGACUUGGGAGGAUCGGAGGCUCCUCCUUUCUCCGCUUGCGGGACUCCAUCAGUGCCUCAAUCCCUGCACACACUUAGCAUGAUAAGACGAGUCGUCAACGUUAGUCUUUCUCAGAAACCUUCGCACGUAUUCGCACGAAGGUUCCCUGGGUGAAGGAUAUCCUUCGACGCCACCUGGGGGAAGGAUGUGGCCAUUCCCCAACAGAGGGGCGGUGCACUGGCGGGCCGCGAGUGGGGAGAGGGGAUUUGGGCCAUCAGGCCAGGAAGAGGGAGAGGAGGGGUUUUGUCUUUUUAUUUUUUCUAUUUCUAUUUCUUUUAUUCCAAAGCCAUUUUCAAAACCGUUUUAAAAAUCACUUUGAAUUAUGUUUGAAAUAUUUUUUUUAUCUUUGGUCAAAUCACUCAUCACAAUAAAAAUGAAUUUUGCAGCAUGAAUGCUCAACCAUAUUUCUAAUCCUAUGAUAAAUUUUAAUUUACUGAAAAAAAUAUUAUUUCUCUAUAUUCCAUGAAUACAAAAAUGCAAAAUUAAAUCGUUUCACCUAUUUCAAAAAUUAUAAAUUUUAGGGUGUUACACGACAACCGAUCAUGCAAAUAGAGACUAUUCUAAUAUCAUAAACAUUCUCAGAAUAUUAUCAAACUGUCAGGAUGGUUUAUUAGAACAUCCUCAUAAAAAACAAAACACUGGAUGCAGAGCAAUGUAAUUGUAUGAAAGAAAAAUAUAGAUUAUUUUUGUUAUUUAUUUAUUUCCUCUAAAAUUCAAAGCAAUACCUGAUCCAAUUCAUAACCUCUCUUUGCUUCUCCGACUAGUCCAUCAUUGAAUUGUCUUGUUCUGUAUGAGAAACACUAAUAGCAAGUCUACCUCUACUCUCCUUCUCGGCAGAGGAUAAUAGACCGAAUUUGAACCACAAAUCCUGCAAAAUAUCCUAAGUUUAUUUUUGUUGACAAAUGUUAUAUAGUUCAUAUGAAUAAUCCUUACAUUAAUUUAAAUGCCCAGUUUCGUUAAUGCAUAUAGUGAACCAUUUUUCUUAAAAUUUUGUAGAAAAAAUACACUAUGCCCUAAAAAACUGAUGAGACAAUUUACAGAAAAACAACUAAUCUCUUUUCUAGUGAAAAAGUACACUGCGACCUAAACAAACGUGCACUGUCAAAAUUGUAACAAUGUAUGUGACAAAUAUGAUAAAGCCACCUAACCUUAAUUUCCAGAAAUUGACAGAAUCUUCUUUGUUUUCAGAAUCCAAAAAAAACAACAAACUCCUUUGCAAUAGAUACAAGAUCGUAAAGACAAAUGUAUGUCCUCUGUAGUGGAUAGAACCAUAGAAAUUAGUCCUGCAUCAGCAGGUGCCAUAUCAAAAUUUUCAAACUGUUAGAUCUCUGAUGGUUGCUGCUUCACCUAUAUAUUUGCACAUGUGAAUUCAAGCCUCUAAAGAAUGGGAUUAGUUAUUCAGAUGAAAUGGGACUACAUUAGGUGAAGUAACAGCAAGAUGUAGUGGCACGAUGUAUGCUCUAGGGUAGUAGCAAGAAAAAUAGAGAACAAAAAAGUUCUACAUGUCCUCCUAGGAUCCAUCACAAAUACCAACCGAUGGACACCGGUAGGAGCUGAGAUUGAACCAAACUGUCAGGAGUUAUCCAAGUUCAGAACCUAACACUAACCUUCUCUUCCUCUGAGUGGCAUGAGGUGACGUCGGCGCAACUAGUGUUGUCUUCAAAUAUGAGCAGCUGGAGUUAGGACCAUCAAAAGUAGGCAGGAGGGAGAACAAACAUGAAUUGUCAGGUCAUGAACAGUAGGGUAAUCAGUGGCACCUGGAAUGGGUGGUGAGCAAGCACCAUGAGCGUUGAUGCCUGAUCGCUACGCUAGGCACAUCCUCACCGACGAUGUAGGGACUUCGGCUCUUUGCUGAUGUCAUCAAUGAAGCCCAGAAAUGACUCUAACCAAGAAGUUGAGGAGCUAGGCACGUCCUGAUGUUGUCAACAAAGUCCAUCGGCUGCUCCCACCUGCCUUUAAUCAUCUAUUGGUUAAUAGAUUGUGGCUGGGACCAGACUACCAACAAUCAACUUAGAACAUUAAAAGUUCAGAACUAAGAUAUCUGAAUCCUAUAAAUUUUUAAAGUAAGAAAUGUCUCAGGUGCACUCUUAGUUUAAAUACAUGUGUACAUAUAAAUCAGCUAGGUUAAUCCACUUCAAAUCCAUCCAUCUACAAUCAGUGGCACAUGUACGCUUGAUAAUCUUUGGAAGGGAUCAAAGUUAGUAGUCAUAAUACAUGUAUACACUUGUAUUUGGAUAAGAUCUCUCAAUACAAAUAGCCAAAUGCUCGGUUUAACAUAUCAUAAAGGCAAGGGAGAAGGAUGAGGAGCACAAGGGCUAGGAACAUUCACAACAAAACAUAUCAAAUCACAUAGAGGCGCAAGCGCAGAUCCACUGAAGUUUGAAGGGCAUUUGAGUGUGCACAUGUACGAUUGAUAAUCUUUAAAAGGGAUCAAAGUUGUGUGCAUAAUACUGGAAAUCAAAGACUAUAGAAAAUCAGAGUGGGGUAUAUUUGAAAGGGAUAAUAUAUACACUUUGUAACAGAUCUGAAUACAAAUGACUUUGGUUGCUCGGUUUUGCAAAGCAGAAAGGAAGAGAAGGGUGGCAUACCUGUGAUGAUGGCGUAGAAAAUUGUGUGUGGUGGCGGCACCUUCUCCUUUUCAAUGCUCCAUCCUAGGAGCAGCAAAUGACGGCGUAGAUCAGAGACGAGCGAGGUGGUGACACAGGUUGAAGGAUGGCCUUACGGUGGUGGCUUGUUCCUAUGGUGGAGGCGCGGCAGAGCGGAACAAGGCACGGCGACGGCGGUGGCCAUGAGGUGGAAGUGGAGGAGGAGG